AACUUCUGAAUGUUGACCUCGAAUCAGGUAGGAAUACCCGCUGAACUUAAGCAUAUCAAUAAGCGGAGGAAAAGAAACCAACAGGGAUUGCCCCAGUAACGGCGAGUGAAGCGGCAACAGCUCAAAUUUGAAAUCUGGCUCUCGGGCCCGAGUUGUAAUUUGUAGAGGAUGCUUUUGGUGAGGUGCCUUCCGAGUUCCCUGGAACGGGACGCCAUAGAGGGUGAGAGCCCCGUCUGGUUGGAUGCCAAUCCUCUGUAAAGCUCCUUCGACGAGUCGAGUAGUUUGGGAAUGCUGCUCUAAAUGGGAGGUAUAUGUCUUCUAAAGCUAAAUACCGGCCAGAGACCGAUAGCGCACAAGUAGAGUGAUCGAAAGAUGAAAAGAACUUUGAAAAGAGAGUUAAAAAGUACGUGAAAUUGUUGAAAGGGAAGCGCUUGUGACCAGACUUGGGCUUGGUUGAUCAUCCGGGGUUCUCCCCGGUGCACUCUUCCGGCCCAGGCCAGCAUCAGUUCGCCCUGGGGGACAAAGGCUUCGGGAAUGUGGCUCUCUCCGGGGAGUGUUAUAGCCCGUUGCGUAAUACCCUGUGGCGGACUGAGGUUCGCGCAUUCGCAAGGAUGCUGGCGUAAUGGUCAUCAGUGACCCGUCUUGAAACACGGACCAAGGAGUCGUCUUCGUAUGCGAGUGUUCGGGUGUCAAACCCCUACGCGAAAUGAAAGUGAACGCAGGUGAGAGCUUCGGCGCAUCAUCGACCGAUCCUGAUGUUAUCGGAUGGAUUUGAGUAAGAGCAUACGGGGCCGGACCCGAAAGAAGGUGAACUAUGCCUGUGUAGGGUGAAGCCAGAGGAAACUCUGGUGGAGGCUCGCAGCGGUUCUGACGUGCAAAUCGAUCGUCAAACAUGGGCAUGGGGGCGAAAGACUAAUCGAACCUUCUAGUAGCUGGUUUCCGCCGAAGUUUCCCUCAGGA
This 960-nucleotide ribosomal RNA is filed under the name Fusarium falciforme. RNAcentral describes it as "eukaryotic LSU rRNA". It matches the Rfam family "Eukaryotic large subunit ribosomal RNA", at positions 1 to 978 of the family's 3401-position model. The record is from RNAcentral. Lineage: Eukaryota; Fungi; Ascomycota; Sordariomycetes; Hypocreales; Nectriaceae.